UCGUGACCUGGCCGAAGUCGGACGCUUAACCGACUGCGCCACCCAGGCGCCCCCCUCCCUCAUCUUAAAAUAUUUCAGCACAUAACUCCUAAAAGUAAGAACACUCUUUUCAUAACCCCAGGGCAGUUACAAUAUCAGGAAACUGAUAUUCAAAUAAUACUGUAAACUAAUAUAAACUAAUAGCAGACCUUAUGCAAAUUUUGUUACUUGUCCCACUAAGUGUCCUUUAUCUGGGCCAGGACCCAAUCCAGAGUCACACAAAUUUAGCUGUGAUAUCUCUUCAGUUUUCUUUACUCUAGAACAAUCCUUCAGUCUUUGUUUCUAUAGAAACUUAACACUUCUGAAGAGUACUGGUCAGUUAUUUUGAAGAAUGUCCCUAAAUGUGAGUUUGUCUCAUGUUUUCUUUCACGAUUCAAUCCAAGUUCUGCAUUUUUGGCCCAAAUGGGGCCAUUCAUUGAUUGAUUCACAUCAGUGUGGACUCACUCAUGGAUGCUUUGUUAUUCUAGAAUCCACAUCUUUGCCACAUGUCAGUUCACUCAUUCAUUGAUUCACACCAGUAUGGACUCAUUCAUGGAUCCUUUGUUUUUCUAGAAUCCGUAUCUUUUGCCACAUGUCAGUUUUCUUUCCAUGAUAUGGUUCUGCUGCUUAUAAUCCUGUUAUUCCAGAGAUGAUUUUAUUAGUUUAUCACAUCGAUUCAAAAACCAAACUGAAAAAUUUUUCAGACCAUAAACUUCAGGAUAGCCCUCCUCUUUCUUGCAGUGCAGGCUCCAAGCUAGAGCCAAGGAAUAUCAGCAGUCUUAAGGAUGCCAGAAGUAUUGCUCUGGGUCAUAUUUUCCAGGGUCAUUAUAAUAAAUUUUAAAGAUUUUGCCUUAAAGUCAAUGCCUUCAUUAUUCCCUACCCACCUUCAACUCCUCUUAGACCAUGUGAGGAAUGGGCAUAAGGACCAUGUUAUGGUGCUUGAGCUAAAGGAGGGUGCAUCCUUAAACUCAGGCAGAGCCAGUCAUGGCCGCAUCUAGGACACUAUGCAGGAAGGACCCUAUGUGGGUAGAAACUGCCCUACUUGGCAAGCUCUCUUUCUCUUUGGUCACCCUCCUACUUCAUUUUCCCUGGAGUACCUGAAGGAGGGACAUAUGGUUUGCACUGGUAUUUGGUUGUAUGAGUCCAAAGGAAAAUGCCAACUCGCAAGUAAAUAUUUGCCAUUUGGGAUGGCUAAUUACACUGUAUGAUUUUAAAAGAAAUGAGCAUUUACCCCAUCCUCGAUUUCACCAUCAUGUCCUUGUGCAAGAAAAAUAAAUCAGCUGUAUAGCAGAAGCAAGAUGUGACUUUUUAAAAAAUCUAAACAUUUUUUGUUUUUAGAAACAGAUAUGGCUGACUCAGAGUCACGAAAGAAAGAAAGAAAGAAAGAAAGAAAGAAAGAAAGAAAGAAAGAAAACCCUGCCGGCUAGACAAAGAGGAUGAUUCUGUUUUCUCCUUCAGGCAAGAAAGCUGAGGCUCAGAGGUUUUAUGACUCGCCCAAGGCCAGAGCUGACAGGUUGCAGUGCUGAACUCUCUCUGUUUGAAUCUUCUUAGUUAAUUUUGUUCAAUUCAGCAAAUAUUUAUCAAAUGCUUCCAUGUGCCAGGUGCUGUCCCAAGUCUGAGGAGAAAAACAAGGAAAGACCUUGAGAUGCUCUUAGUGAAGGGCUUCUUAUUUUUAUCCAUCAGCAUGUGACUGGAGGUGGCAGGUAAAUGUGGGCGUUUUGAGGUUGUAUCAGGUAGGAUGUGUUUCUAUUCGGUUGUAACAGGAAAUCCAACUCAAACUGACUUAAACAAUAAGGAGGACACAUCGUGCCCGGGAAGGCUAUUAUCGCCUAAUAUCCAUUUCCUCUUCUAGAGGAGCAGAGCCUCCAAUUUUUAGCCGGGCAUAUGGCUGUGUAGACUAAAGAAAACAUUUCUCAGACACACCUGAAGCUAGGUGUGGCCAUAUAACUAAGUUAUUGCACAUAACCAGAAGUGCUAUGUGUACUUUCUGGGAAAUGCCUUUCCCUUUUGUCCUUCUUGCUGACUGGACUCAGGUCUGAUGGGAGAAGCUGGAGCAGCCAUCUUGGGCCACAGGGGAAGAAAUUCUGUGUUAAAAUGGCAGAGCUACCACACCUAAGGCAAUAUAUCCCUGGACUGUCUGCCUGGACUUGGGUGUUGUUGUUGUUGUUAACCUGAGAAAGAAAGAAAUCUUGAACUUGUUCAAGCCACUGUUAUUUGGAGUUUUCAGUUACUUGCAACUGGGCCUGAUCCUAACUCCUAUAUUUACAUAGCUGGAAGUCCUGGAGGAAGGGUGGACUUCAGUGUUGGUUUGAUUUCACAGCUCAAUGAGAGUAUCAAGGAAUCAGUUUUGUCCAGAACUUGGUUUUGCCUUUGAUGUCAGUUGCAUCCUAAGGCUGGCUCUCUUUCACGGGACAAGAUGACAGCUAACAAAAAGAUAAAUAUAUGCUUCCUUAUCAACUUUCAGAGAGAGAGAGAGAGAGGGAGGGAGGGAGAGAGAGAGAGAGAUACAGAAGUGCUCUCAUAAAAACAACGAGGUUCCUUUCCCAGAAACCCGCUGACAUCAUCUUGCUUUUCAUUGACCCACAUAAGGUCAAAUGCAGCCAGGGGAAUGCCAUGAACUGAUCAGUUUAGUUUCUGAUGGAACCAAUCACCUCGGCAAGGGAAUUGGGCUUACACUCAUUGCCUACUGCUGGAGGUGGGGUAUUUUUUUCUUUUUAAAUUUGGGAUAACAUACUAAUUUAGGGUCAGUUUAGGGAUGUCAGUUCUUGGCAUCAAUGAAUUCAACCUGCAGUUUGUACUGUCUUUGAAGGGCCCCCACAGUUCACGGUGGAAGAGGCAGCAUAACACCUUCCUGUGUAUUUGCUAAAAGGAUUCAGUGAAAUGUGUAGCUGUCCUAUUUCAGGGAAUUUCUCUCAGUGGGCUAGAAGGAGUCGUUUUGCUGGUGAGUCCAAAUGGAUCCAUGCUGUCCCCAGAUCAAUCCCCUGGAAAUGGACAAAGCUGUCAGUACUACCCCCUCCCAGGGGAGGGCUCCUAUCUGAGAAUUUCUCCUCUAGCUUGCCCCCAGCCCCCUUCCUCCAAGGCUACCUGAAGUACCUAUAAUUCCUGGAAUUCCUAUUCCUUGGGAGUAAACCAUCUUUUCAGAAAGUCUCCGUUAACCUUGGAGGAGUGACACAUUGAAUCUCAGCACAAACGUAUUGAUCAGGUUAAUUAGAAUCCUCCCCCCUCACCACCUUCUCCAACACCAGGGACAUGGGGUCAGUGGGCAGUUGGGGUGUUAUGGUAGAGAAGAAAAAGUUCCUGGUUUCUGGCUACUCAGAGAGGGCAGGUAGGAUAUCAAAAUGGGGGUCCUGAGUCCCUGGCCAAGAUAGGAGGUGGGGAUAAUAAGAAAGAUCAGGAAGUGAGGUAAUGGAGGAACAUGGAAGCCGAUUUCAGCGACUUACUGAUUUAGCCAAAGGUAACCCUGUGCAAUCUAUGCUGAGUGACCAAUAGUUAUCGUUUGAUUUUGUGGCUGCACAACAGCUCUAUUACUUCCCAUUUUGGGUGCCCCGGUGGCUGCCAGAAUCUCUCAAGUUUUGUUUCUUGCCCAUCCAUCUGGCUUGUGGCUUGCCCACACGGCUCAGGACGCAGCCUUGUUAAAAUGACAGGACUCCAUGAGUCUCCCCAAAAUGGAAAGGAACAACCAGAAGGAGGGCAUCCAUUCAGUACAGAAAUCACAUCAGAGAAGGAGCAAUGCCAGAAACACUGGCUCGAAAUAGAAUCAGGGGGAGCUGAGCACAGUGGAAAGCAAAAGGUCUUCUCCGUUCUUUUCAACCAACUCUAAAAGCGAUUCUACAGUAAAUAUCUUUUUCUGUAGUAAAUCCAUCCGGGUAAUAUGUUCCAACAGCCAUCCGUUCAUUAGCUUGUGUAAGCUUAUCACUUAUAGCAAUUAGAUAUUCGGUGCCUAAUCCAAAACUCUCCACACCUUAUUCAUUCUUCCCUGGGGCCAUUUCUGAAGUUCCUCUGAAAGGCUUCAUUUCACUCUCACAUUAGCACUUCUCCAUCCUCCCUGGACCAUUCAUAUGCAAAUCACAUGGCCAGGGAAGGGUGGUGGUGAGUGAUAAAAAUGUGGAUCUCAGAGCUCCACCCAGAAUCUUCUAAACUAGGCUCUCUGUGAGCAGGGCCCAGAAAUGAACGUUUUAAGACAGCAAGUCAUGUGAUUUUAAUGCAGUCUAAGGUUUAAGCACACUGAUUCCUAGAGAGUGCCAACAAUAAUACCUCACGGUUGGGGCAACUGGGUGGUUCAGUCUGGUAAGUGUCUGACUCUUGAUCUCAUCUCAGGUCAUGGUCUCAGGGUUCAUGGGCUGAGCCCCGAGUUGGGCUCUGCACUGAUGGAGUGGAGCCUGCUUGGGAUUCUCUCUCUCCCUCUCUCUCUCUGCCCCUCCCCUCCUGUAAUAAAUUUAAAAAAAAAAAAACCCAAAAAACUUACAGUUUGAUGGGACUCUAUGCUUUAACAAAGACUUUUGUAUAACAUCUCAUUUGAGCCUCACCACAAGCCUCGGGAAGAAUGUCACAGCAGGUAUGAUUAUUUCCAUCUUAUGAAGGGGAGAUCACACUUCUGUGCCUUCAAGUAACUUGCACGAGGUCACACACUCAUAAGUGGGGUUGCGUGGACUGCAAUUCAGAUCUUAUAGUACCGAGUUCAGUGCUCCUGCCAUUACCCUGAAUGGUAACAACAUUUUGAUUGACUGAAUGUCAGUCACUGUCUAAAAGAAAACAUAGUCUGAGCAGCCAUGGGAAGAAGCAUCCUUUGUGGAAAGAGAAAAUAAAACUAUAAGAACUUGGAAAAUGUCAAUAGCCAGCACACUUACGGUCAUCAAUGGUCUAAUCAUAAUGUUAAAUUUGUUCACUACAAGUAUCAGAAGAUUCAUUUUUAUUACAUAUUGAGAUUUGGCCUCGUUGACUCAAUUAAUUGGUCAGGACCGUCGAAUUUUCACAAUGGUGAACCACGUGAUCAGAAAUUCCAUUAAGUGAAUGCUAACUACGUUGAUUUACUUUUAAUGAUGAUGAUGCUGAAGGAACAUCCAUGUGACUCAAACCUGAGUCAAGGACAGACGAGGAAUUAUUCAUACCUAAUGUUCCUUUGUCAGCAAUCCAUGGUGUCCCAGUUUCAUUCUGAAAUUUUAGUGGAAUUAAAUCUGAGAAGCUGAAAAAAUUAUAUCAUGAACUGCAAUUUGGUUGAGCUCCAACCAUUAGGCAAUUCAAGGCCGCUAAUGGGACACACACGCGUUGGCGAUUAAUUCCACAGCCACAGUGUUAGGCAGAUGAGUAAUCCCUGCUGAACCCCUACACACCUGUGUGAUGGUUAACUUUAUGUGUCAAUUUGACCGGGUCACCCAGGAUGCCCACAUAUCUCGUUAAAACAUCGUUUCUGGGUGUGUCUGUGAGAGGGUUUCUGGAAGAGAUUAGCAUUUGAAUGGGACUGAGUAAAGCAGAUCCCUAGUGUGGUCGUCAUCCAGUCUGUGGAGGAACUGUAUAGAAUGAAAAAAGUGGAAGAAGGGCCCCUUUGCUCUCUGUCUGACGUUGUCUCCUGUGACAUUGGUCUUCCCCUGCACAGGGACUGGGACUUAACAUCAUCUGCUCUCUUGGUUGUCGAGCCUUGGGGCUUGGACUGAAACUACGCUGGUUUUCCUGGGUCUCCAGCUUGCAGAGGACAGUGGAAUUUCUCACCUUCCUUAUUCAUGUGAGCCAAUUCCUCCCCACCCUGCCAUAUAUAGAAAGAGAGCGAGGCGGGGUGUGUGCGCGCGUGUGUGUGUGUGUGUAUGUCUAUCUCCUAUUGACUCUAUUUCUCUGGAGAAUCCCGACUAAUAUACCAUGUACCCCCGCGCUCCCGACUUUUCACCUCAAGAUCUCCGUGGCUGCAUUGUGGGGUCAGAUGAGUCACAUUUAGCCUUGCUCCCCGCACCAGCUAUUGGAUUUACAACCUAACGCUAAGGCAACCUGGGUUAUGGGUUGGGCCCCACAUGGAACUGCUAGCUUGGCUUUAUUUCGUGACUUUAGGCUCAGCUCCACUCAUGGGCAGCCACUCGCGCUGUGAGGAGCACAAAUGGUCGGUUCAUCGGGGUCGGAAAGGCCAGGGCCCUUCCCAGCAUUGCCUCAGAAAGCAACUCUGGAAAGACACUGCAGAAGCUGAAUCAGUCCUUUGUUAACUUGGGCCCUGUGUGAAUUUUUAUGUCCCAUUUGGUGAAAAAUGCAGAUUAGGCUGCUGGGUUUAAAAACAUUUUGCUAACAGUCACUUAUGGAUUAAUUAGAGCCGACCCUGAGUUAGGAUGAAUCCAGGCCAUUUUGGGGGCAAUCUGAGUAGCAUAUGUGAUGGUAAUUCCCUAAGCACCCGUCGGGCUGUAUAUGUUUUGGUGACCAUUCCAUCAAAUAUUCUUUUUUUUUUAAAACUUUUUUGGUGCCCAGAAAUUUAUCUGUCCACCAGUGGGAUAAAUAUACUAGCUUGUUUUCUAGUUUUCAAAAACAGUUUGUGGUUGUUUAAUAAUUCUUUGAACCAUGUGUGUUUGUCAAAUGUACGAUGCAUGUAAUGGGUAUGAAUUGUUCCACUGGGCUUGAGGCACAAGAAACAUCACUUUACUUUUCCAGCUCAAUACCUUCUCCCUGGGCCUGGGCAUGGAUUAUUGAGGGAGGGGGGCCUUGCUCUCCCUAGCUUCUCCCUGGGUUGUGCCAGGCACUCAGGAUUCACUCAGUCUAGGAGGACGGGGAGAGAGGCCUCUGUCGGUACCCCAUUUGGUCACUGCAGGUGCCCCCUGUGCAAGCCCACACACACCUACCUCCCGGAGGCCAUCAGGCCCUGCAGCUACAUUCCCUCCUCAGCAGGCCAGACAGCCUGACAGUUGCUCCCCAGCUGAGGAGCUUGAUAUCUGGCCUCGACAACAUCCCAGCAGCCACUCCCCAUUCAAGGUCCUGCCACCUCCUGGGUGCUGUGCGGGACCCUCUCCUCAGAGAACCCUCAAACCGGAGAUCCAACUGCUUUCGGUCAUCAAGCCUCUUCCCAAUUCUAGACACUUCAUGGCUCCCAAUCCCACCCCCACCCCACCCCCAGCCUCCUCCUGCCUGGGAACCAGUGCUCCCAAACAAAGGUUUGGUCCUAACACACAAAAUGUGUCCCUUGGGAACCAGGAACACAGAAACACCAAGGCUGGCUGCCUUUUCUGAUAGGGGUAAAAGGAAAAUUCCCUUCAGUCUCUGCUGAUGAAUUCACAGCAGGAAAGGAAAAAAAAAAGCCACCACAAAACCAUAAGCCACAAAAAAGGCGAGACACCAGAUACUUUCUCAAUAAUUCAUUCCAAGUAUGAGUAUACAUGUAUGUAUAAUUAUUCUCCCAUUUUUCCUCCAGUUUUGUUUAAAUAAUGUUUCCUUUUUAAAAUCACUAUGCUGCUUAGGGGCGCUUGGCUCAGUUGGUUAAGCCUCUCUCAACUUCGG
Molecule: long non-coding RNA, 7479 nt
Organism: Prionailurus viverrinus (fishing cat)
Lineage: Eukaryota; Metazoa; Chordata; Mammalia; Carnivora; Felidae
Exons: 3
Source: RefSeq, a predicted model, not a curated record